AUGUAAUCUUUGUAGCAUGGGCUGUUUGUUGGCAACCGAAGGUUUCUGCUGAUGCCCAUUGUGUUUAGGACCUGGGGUCAGAGGUGCUCCUGCUCUUCCCUUUGCCAGACAAAAGCAUCAGUGGUGACACAGUGCUCUUUACAGAAAAGCUCCCGCAAAGAAGGAUGGAAAUGUUGAGCUGUGUCUUAUUUCUGGAGCACCAGUCUUUGCCAAAAGCCUUGUGCUUGGCCACAGACAUGAAUAAAAGGAGCAAGGCACAGGUAAAAUGCUAUGUCGUCGUCCUCCCACUCACCUCCCCCCUGCCCUCCGCCUUUCUGUCACAUGUGAGAUUUCAGUAGCAUGCAGCCUUGCUGGGAGCUGGGGCAAUAAUUGGGAUCUGAAACACUGCUGAAUGACUCACACACACUUUAUCUAUGUCUGUCCACACUGUUGUGGCUUUUCUUGCUGGUGACAACGUGGCGGAGAAGGACAGGGUGAGAGAGCAAGAUAGCGUGGAUGCGGGGGGCCAUGCCAAGAUGGAGUGAUUUCUCAUGUAGUGUUACAGUAAUGACCAACGUGACACAGAAGGAAAAUUCUGUGACAAUAUGGUGCUCUUGUCCUGUUAUGGAUAGGAGUCAAUCUCUUUGCUGCGGGCAGUCUAACCCUCUCAUGGAGGCAGUGCAGCCAUGACCCAGCAGAACACCAGCUGUGUGUUGUGAGGUGUGUGGGCCAUGUGGAACCAGGAAAGAGUGCUUGCACCCAACACAAUCACUAAGCAGUGUGCAGGGGCUGGAAAGAAUUGCAGAGAGACAAUGAUUAACCAAAACCUGCUGCUUCCGUAUCACAGAGGGAAUCAGAGCAAAUUCCACCAUCAAUUCAUAGAGAUGAAAAUCCAACAGGAGGGCGCCCACACAGAUACCACCUUUUGAAAGGCAAUAUAAAUUCUGCAUCAUUAUGUGUAUUUAACUGUAUGCAUAAGGUAAAGAUCUUUCAACACCCUCAUAAACUUCUCCAUAAUUUGUAUGGAGAAUAUAUCACAGUGUAAUAUAUACAUGGGAGAGCUGGGAUGCUGUUCUACUCUUGCUUUGAAUUAGUCAAGUUUGAAACUUGAGAACAAAGGGAAAGAGGAGGUGAAUUUUGGUCAGCUUGAAUAUUUCAAAUAGCAUUCUAGAAAUGCUUUUAAUGGAGAACAAUGCAAAAUAAUGAGGAUGCUGACUGUCUGUGGAUGAUGAGGAAGACCACAGAAUGAUCCAGUGGACUCAGAACAUAUUGGGCUGGUGAAGAGGACAGGUGAAGCUUAUGUGCUGUAGUCCUGACAUUUGCAGCUUCAGUCUGAGAAUCUUCACUGCUCCUGAGAAGUGUGGAUGGACAAAUCCAGUUCUUGGAAAUGGUUCUAUAAGAAGUAGACCCACAGACUAGUUUCCUUGCUUGCUACCUAAAUGCCAGUUGCUCUUCCAGUUCUUUAGACAUGGCAUACAUUGCAAAGCACAGCCAUUUCUUUAUCAGAGGGAAAUACACCCCUAUAAGAGAGAUUUUAAUUUACAUCUCAUAAAUGAAACUUCGUCCUUGUGGUGUCCUGCAGAACGAUAUUAACAGGACUGUUUUAAUCUCUGCAGUGGUUUUACCUUUAGUUUUUGGAAUUGUUCUAAACUUGUGAUAUUAUUUUAAAAUUGUUAGAAUAGGGAGGAUUAGCCUGAUUCUAUAUUUCACAUUAAGUACCUUUUAAAAUUUCUCCUAGUGAAGGGCUACCAGCCUGCUGCUUAGUGACUAAUAAAUUUGAUUCAUCCUCACUCCCCACAGGGUUAUCCUCCUUCUUACUAAUGUUUGACAUUUUACGUUUUAAUUAAAAUCACCCUACAAGCAGCAAACCACUAAGAGAAUGACAGAGAUUCUUACUGCAACAAGAUAUAAGUAAAAGGCCAAUUCACUAACUAUAUCUUCAAUAGUGCCUGUUACUAGUUCUCAACGUGACUACUAUGUGAUAUGACAUACAGGAGAAGAUGCAACACCUAUCUUAUUGUCCAGGGGGUUUCCAAUCUAACAAGAAUCUAUCAUUUAAUGUCUGCAUGUCAGGAGGAGUGACCUGGACUUGUGUUGCUUGAUUGGUCCUGUACAGACCCAAGUCAGGUAGUAACCUAAUAGAAGGGAAGGAUAGCAACAAGGAGCAGUGAAAGUCUGUUCAAUUGCCAUGAAGAUGCUGUCAAAUUGUGUAGCAGCUGGCUCCUAGCUGUCCCAGCUGUCAUUUAGGGGCUGUUUUUUAAGUGAGCCUCCCUUUCGAGGGAAACAGAUAUGGGUAGAAUCAGUGGACGGGUUUAGAGAGGGUUUUUAUGUAAGGGCCUGUACUAGUAAGGAUGGGAAAAAAGCAGCACAAGAAGGUGAAGAAUAGACAGGAAAACUGGUGUUGGCAACUGGAAAGAGAUGGUUGGCUGGACUUCAGUAAGGAAGCUGUAGCAGAUAUGUGAAGGUGUGAGACACACAAAGUGGGAGACCAGCAUUACAAUGUGCUUAGAAAGAAAAGGAGAUGAAGUUACCAGAAUAGGUGGAUACCCUUUGCAGAGGUGACUCUGUAGGCCCUGAGACAGGCAGUAUAUAGAGGCCUGGAAAAAAGUCAACUGUUUGAACAGAACAAAGGAGAAAUGAAAAUACACCAAUGGAAAUGUUUUUACUGAUUUGCACAUGAGGCAAGGAAAGAUAAUUCACUGCACAUGCUCUCUGAGGUACACAGCCUGAUGACAACAAGAUGGUGGUGCCAAGGGAUAAGGACAGGGACACAGCAGCUCUGUAAGUACACUGAGAAACUAGUUCCUGACCUUCUAGGUAAGAGAAGGAAAGAUACUGAUAUGGUAAUUUGGGAAUGGCAUCAAACCCAGAAUGAGACUCUGCUUUCACCUCUGAUGGAGAUCCCUGGUACUAGUUGUGAAACUGCUUCUGAAAAGCUUGCCUCAUUCAGAUGACAAUGACUGGAUGUGUGUGAUAUAGAAAAUGUCAUUUUCCUUUCCCCAUGCAGCCUAAAAACACGUGGCUGUGUUGUCAGAAGGCGGUAACACAAGCCUAUGUCUCAAACAAGGAAGCAUCAUCUUGACCCUCACUAGCGUGCCUCACUCCCUCUGAAAACCAGCAACAAAAAAUAUUUUUCUCAUACAUAUUUUGCCUGCUGUUGAGGAUUUUAUUUUAAACGACUUUAGAAAACAAAAUGUGCAGGGAAGCCUGCAAAAUCCUGCAAGUUACAGGCUUGCUCAGGCUUUUCUGAAUUACGAUACAAACCUCCAAGCAAUAGUGGAGAAAUGACUAUUUCCUUUCAUAUAUUAUUCUUGCUGCCCUUAGGAGAUGAACAGUGUGAAAUAUGUGACUUCUGAACAGAAACAUACCUUAUGGAGGGGAUGAAGGCUUAGAUAUAUCAAUAUGAAUAAAUGGGAAGAAAGACUGACAGAAUGAUUUUACAUUUCCAGCUCAUUCCUUCUCCUUUCUGGGACAGAAAAGUCUGGGAAACAUGGUAGUUCCUCUUAAGGAGCUUAAAUGAUGUUCAUUUCAGCUGUACCAAAUAUCGACGAUCAAGAGGGACUAACUGGCCUCCAGGUGCUCCAGAGAGACAGUUGGUUUUGGUUUACUGGAGUAGCUGGUAGAUAGUAACAACCCUGUUGUUGGUACGUCUGUUGGUAGUAAGAGCUCCAUGAAUAAAAGGUGUUUGUUGUCAGAAAUAUUGUUUGUGUCUCCCCGUGGCUCGAUGCUCUGAGAAGGAAUUUAUAGCAGAGCUGUCUUCUUCUAUU
Molecule: non-coding RNA, 3746 nt
Organism: Coturnix japonica (Japanese quail)
Lineage: Eukaryota; Metazoa; Chordata; Aves; Galliformes; Phasianidae
Source: RefSeq, a predicted model, not a curated record